This 263-nucleotide ribosomal RNA is filed under the name uncultured Staphylococcus sp. RNAcentral's name for it is "partial 16S ribosomal RNA". It matches the Rfam family "Bacterial small subunit ribosomal RNA", at positions 99 to 353 of the family's 1533-position model. Lineage: Bacteria; Bacillati; Bacillota; Bacilli; Caryophanales; Staphylococcaceae. The record is from RNAcentral.
CGGACGGGUGAGUAACACGUGGAUAACCUACCUAUAAGACUGGGAUAACUUCGGGAAACCGGAGCUAAUACCGGAUAAUAUAUUGAACCGCAUGGUUCAAUGGUGAAAGACGGUUUUGCUGUCACUUAUAGAUGGAUCCGCGCCGCAUUAGCUAGUUGGUAAGGUAACGGCUUACCAAGGCAACGAUGCGUAGCCGACCUGAGAGGGUGAUCGGCCACACUGGAACUGAGACACGGUCCAGACUCCUACGGGAGGCAGCAUCC